This 253-nucleotide ribosomal RNA is filed under the name uncultured bacterium. RNAcentral describes it as "partial 16S ribosomal RNA". It matches the Rfam family "Bacterial small subunit ribosomal RNA", at positions 524 to 776 of the family's 1533-position model. The record is from RNAcentral.
UACGAAGGGGGCUAGCGUUGCUCGGAAUCACUGGGCGUAAAGGGUGCGUAGGCGGGUCUUUAAGUCAGGGGUGAAAUCCUGGAGCUCAACUCCAGAACUGUCUUUGAUACUGAAGAUCUUGAGUUCGGGAGAGGUGAGUGGAACUGCGAGUGUAGAGGUGAAAUUCGUAGAUAUUCGCAAGAACACCAGUGGCGAAGGCGGGUCUCUGGGCAACUCCUGACGCUGAGGCGCGAAAGCGUGGGGAGCAAACGGG